ACCAUCCAAAACUCGAGAUGCAGAAAAUUUAUGGAAGCAUAUAUUGUUAGAAGAACUUGCUAUAAAUUACAGAGUUUCGAGCAUUAAAUUCCCCUCCCCUCCCUCUACGGCUCUCAAUACAAGCAAUCUGGUGUAUCAUUAGGGAACUUGACGAAAUCCCAAUGAUAAUAUCCUUACUACCCUUAUUCCAAUGUUCUUUGUUCCACAGAAUUCAUUCUGUUUGUUUAUUUUCCAGCUUAAAAUUUCCUAGUACUAUAUUACAUUCGUUGUAUAGCUUAUGAUUAACCCACAAGCAGCAAC
Molecule: unclassified non-coding RNA, 300 nt
Filed under: Hevea brasiliensis (rubber tree)
Lineage: Eukaryota; Viridiplantae; Streptophyta; Magnoliopsida; Malpighiales; Euphorbiaceae
Source: RNAcentral